GACGAACGCUGGCGGCGUGCUUAACACAUGCAAGUCGAGCGGUAAGGCCCUUUCGGGGGUACGACGAGCGGCGAACGGGUGAGUAACACGUGGGUGACCUGCCCUCAGCUCUGGGAUAAGCCUGGGAAACCGGGUCUAAUACCGGAUAUGACUCCAUGACGCAUGUUGUGGGGUGGAAAGCCUUGUGCGGCUGAGGAUGGGCCCGCGGCCUAUCAGCUUGUUGGUGGGGUGAGGCCUACCAAGGCGACGACGGGUAGCCGGCCUGAGAGGGCGACCGGCCACACUGGGACUGAGACACGGCCCAGACUCCUACGGGAGGCAGCAGUGGGGAAUCUUGCGCAAUGGGCAAAGCCUGACGCAGCGACGCCGCGUGAGGGAUGACGGCCUCGG
RNAcentral lists this ribosomal RNA (390 nucleotides) under uncultured bacterium. Its description in RNAcentral is "bacterial SSU rRNA". It matches the Rfam family "Bacterial small subunit ribosomal RNA", at positions 28 to 420 of the family's 1533-position model. The record is from RNAcentral.